This 797-nucleotide long non-coding RNA is filed under the name Populus trichocarpa (black cottonwood). RNAcentral's name for it is "long non-coding RNA (PTRI_LNC002266)". Lineage: Eukaryota; Viridiplantae; Streptophyta; Magnoliopsida; Malpighiales; Salicaceae. The record is from RNAcentral.
AGGAGAAUCAAUUCGAAAUCAAAAUGGGAGUUUUCACCUUCGUUUGCAGGUGCUCCGGUAACGAGUGGAGUGCCAAGCAGAUCGCCGAAGGCGAUAUUGAGGCCUCCGCUUCCUCCACCUUCGAGUUGCAAAGGAAACUUGUCCAAUCUGCUCUCUCCGCUGAUUCCUCCGGUGGCGUCCAGUCCUCUUUCUCUUACGUCACUCCUUCAUCCGCCGUUUUCCAGGUCCUCACAUUUUCUCUCUUUAUCUUUUUGUUUAUUUUCUUGCUUUAAACAACAAUUAUCUGAUUUAGUAUCUCAUCAUGAAGUAUAUCUUUUGUCCGUUUUGUUAAUAAAUCCUUUGCAAUUUGUCAAAUAGUUUAGGGUUUUGAACCAUCAUCUCAUAAUCAUAAAUGCAUGUAUGUGUGUUGGCUUGCACUGCAGUGAGAAACUUAUUCAUGUGAUCUUUUUCAAGUUAUUUUUAUUUACUUGAACAAUUGUUUCUAAUUUGGAAUAUAAUUUAGUCAUCUAAAUUAGAAUUUAUAGGCAAGAACAGUUGUCAUAUAAGAGUGCAAAAUAUAUGUGGAUGUGACAUUCGAUGUUAGUUUUAGUUGUCUAAUGAGGUGGGUAAAUUUUGUUUGGUGCAGGUGAUCAUUGGUGGCGGCUGUGGUGGAGCCUUCUUUGGCGGUGGUGGUGGAGGUGCAGCAGCGGCUCCAGCAGGAGGUGCAGCAGCUGCAGCUGAGGCACCUGCUGCUGAGGAGAAGAAGAAGGAAGAGGAGCCAGAGAGUGAUGAUGAUAUGGGAUUCUCUCUUUUUGAUU